Molecule: long non-coding RNA, 314 nt
Filed under: Fukomys damarensis (Damara mole-rat)
Lineage: Eukaryota; Metazoa; Chordata; Mammalia; Rodentia; Bathyergidae
Description: lncRNA (ENSFDAG00000025859.1)
Source: RNAcentral
GGAAGCUGUUUUGAAGAUAACUACAAGUUCAGACUCAGAAAGUGAAGAUGUUUCCAGGAAAUACUGGCGAUGAUCUACAUUUGCUUCCCAGAAGAUCAAAUCCAGGAAGGGGAUUACCUACACUGUCCAGGGCAACUAAGCAUUUUGGAUUCAUUUUCGAGCAUGUGAGUUGGAAAAACAGGCAAAAUGGUGAAGAUAAGGGAGACAGGGAAGUGGCUGAGGGAGAAGACAUGUGUGACAUAUACGCCAGCCUUUGCACCAAAACUUGGUAAGAUGUUGAUGCUGACAGAUACCUUUCAAUGUACACUUAAACA